GCUGGAGUAGCUCAGCUGGGAGAGCGUUAGACUGAAGAUCUAAAGGUCCCUGGUUCAAUCCCGGGCUUCAGCA
RNAcentral lists this transfer RNA (73 nucleotides) under Phalacrocorax carbo (great cormorant). It matches the Rfam family "tRNA". From Rfam's summary of the family: Transfer RNA (tRNA) molecules are approximately 80 nucleotides in length. Their secondary structure includes four short double-helical elements and three loops (D, anti-codon, and T loops). The record is from Rfam by way of RNAcentral. RNAcentral also lists the same sequence under 1 other name. Lineage: Eukaryota; Metazoa; Chordata; Aves; Suliformes; Phalacrocoracidae.